GAUGAACGCUGGCGGCGUGCCUAAUACAUGCAAGUCGAACGAACGGACGCGACGCUUGCUUCUCUGAUGUUAGCGGCGGACGGGUGAGUAACACGUGGAUAACCUACCUUUAAGACUGGGAUAACUUCGGGAAACCGGAGCUAAUACCGGAUAAUAUCUUGAACCGCAUGGUUCAAAAGUGAAAGACGGUCUUGCUGUCACUUAUAGAUGGAUCCGCGCUGCAUUAGCUAGUUGGUAAGGUAACGGCUUACCAAGGCAACGAUGCAUAGCCGACCUGAGAGGGUGAUCGGCCACACUGGAACUGAGACACGGUCCAGACUCCUACGGGAGGCAGCAGUAGGGAAUCUUCCGCAAUGGGCGAAAGCCUGACGGAGCAACGCCGCGUGAGUGAUGAAGGUCUUCGGAUCGUAAAACUCUGUUAUUAGGGAAGAACAUAUGUGUAAGUAACUGUGCACAUCUUGACGGUACCUAAUCAGAAAGCCACGGCUAACUACGUG
RNAcentral lists this ribosomal RNA (497 nucleotides) under uncultured bacterium. RNAcentral's name for it is "partial 16S ribosomal RNA". It matches the Rfam family "Bacterial small subunit ribosomal RNA", at positions 28 to 507 of the family's 1533-position model. The record is from RNAcentral.